GCGUAGGCGGCCUUCUGGACUGACACUGACCUGAGGUGCGAAAGCGUGGGUAGCAAACAGGAUUAGAUACCCUGGUAGUCCACGCCGUAAACGAUGUCUACCAGCCGUUGGGUGCCUAGCGCACUUUGUGGCGAAGUUAACGCGAUAAGUCGACCGCCUGGGGAGUACGGCCGCAAGGUUAAAACUCAAAUGAAUUGACGGGGGCCCGCACAAGCGGUGGAACAUGUGGUUUAAUUCGAUGCAACGCGAAAAACCUUACCUACUCUUGACAUCCUGCGAACUUGGGAGAGAUUACUUGGUGCCUUCGGGAACGCAGAGACAGGUGCUGCAUGGCUGUCGUCAGCUCGUGUUGUGAAAUGUUGGGUUAAGUCCCGUAACGAGCGCAACCCUUGUCCUUAUUUGCCAGCGCGUAAUGGCGGGAACUCUAAGGAGACUGCCGUGUGACAAACCGGAGGAAUGUGGGAUACGACGUCAAGUCAUCAUGGCCCUUACGAGUAGGGCUACACACGUGCUACAAUGGUCGGUACAAAGGGUUGCCAACUCGCG
Molecule: ribosomal RNA, 546 nt
Filed under: Halomonas sp. LL35
Lineage: Bacteria; Pseudomonadati; Pseudomonadota; Gammaproteobacteria; Oceanospirillales; Halomonadaceae
Description: bacterial SSU rRNA
Rfam family: Bacterial small subunit ribosomal RNA
Source: RNAcentral